RNAcentral lists this ribosomal RNA (468 nucleotides) under uncultured bacterium. Its description in RNAcentral is "partial 16S ribosomal RNA". It matches the Rfam family "Bacterial small subunit ribosomal RNA", at positions 28 to 507 of the family's 1533-position model. The record is from RNAcentral.
GACGAACGCUGGCGGCGUGCUUAACACAUGCGAGUCGAACGGAAAGGCCCUGCGGUUGUGGGGUGCUCGAGUGGCGAACGGGUGAGUAACACGUGAGUAACCUGCCCUUGACUUUGGGAUAACUUCAGGAAACUGGGGCUAAUACCGGAUAGGAGCUCCUGCUGCAUGGUGGGGGUGGGAAAGUUUCGGCGGUUGGGGAUGGACCCGCGGCUUAUCAGCUUGUUGGUGGGGUAGUGGCUUACCAAGGCUUUGACGGGUAGCCGGCCUGAGAGGGUGACCGGCCACAUUGGGACUGAGAUACGGCCCAGACUCCUACGGGAGGCAGCAGUGGGGAAUAUUGCACAAUGGGCGGAAGCCUGAUGCAGCAACGCCGCGUGCGGGAUGACGGCCUUCGGGUUGUAAACCGCUUUCGCCUGUGACGAAGCGUGAGUGACGGUAAUGGGUAAAGAAGCACCGGCUAACUACGUG